CCCCUGGAUAAUGUAUCCAGCAGGGUUCAGGGGGCAGCCUCCCACCAGCACCCACCUGGCAUAUUUACAAAGGCUGGAGCCCCCACUCUUCACAGCCCAACAGCCUCUCCCUGACUCUGACCUGAGCACCCUCCAGAAGCAAGGGCUGCCUAGCCCACCUCUGCUUUCAGGUUUCUGCUUCCAGACUCAAGUGGUUCUUGACCACGCCCACCUUGCAACCCUUCCCCCCACCCCUCCCCACUACACACACACACAGCCUGCUCAGCUGCCCUCCUCCCUCCCCACAUAGCUCCAACACGGGAAUGAUUUGCAGGUCAGCUCUCCAGGAUGACUGAAGCCUCCUCCAUCUCUCAGGAUAACGGACCAGUUUACAGAUGAGGACGCUGAAGUCCAGAAGGAAUAAGUAAUGCACGCCAGGCUUCCGAUUCCCAUGGAUCUCAGUUCUCUCCCAGAGUGCUCUGCUAGCAAGUCUGCCCUCUUUCCAUUGGGCCACGCUGCAUUCGAGAUCCAGAGGACAUAGGGAGAGUCCAGUAAUCUUCCUCCCACCCAGAUGCUGUAGGUUGGCUCCCACUGCAAACUACAAAACCAGAGACCUGGCGAGAGACAAGCUGACAAUCCAAGCUCUCUUGCGGUCACUUGCUCCUGGGUCCCAGCUACCGAAACGCAGUGUGUCCUGUGCGCUGUGCAAAUCCAGAGCCCGCUGGUCCCUGCCACCCACAGCCCCUAGUUGAACGAUGUUCCCCAUCUAGGUCCUGGGGGAAAACGGAAAUCCAAGAAACUGACACCAAACUCAGAAGUCAGUAAAAACACAAAACUUGAAAUAUUUU
This is a long non-coding RNA of Ictidomys tridecemlineatus (thirteen-lined ground squirrel), 827 nucleotides long. RefSeq lists it as uncharacterized. The record is from RefSeq and is a predicted model, not a curated record. Lineage: Eukaryota; Metazoa; Chordata; Mammalia; Rodentia; Sciuridae.